AUAAUUUAAUUUAAAACAGCAAUUUAGCUGUUAGGGCUGGCCUUAUAACAACCACGGUGGGUCUUAAAAGUUAUAUUAUAAGUCGAAAGUCACUGAGUUUCCCGGGGGAGGGGGGGGGGCUAUAUAUAUUUGAAAUGCUGGCCAAAGCUGCAAAAACAGCAAAAGCAAUUCUUUAAAGUAUUUGACGUACGUUUUUCCUCAGCCUUGACGUACAAAUAUUUACGGAAUUUGCAAGAUCCCAGUAAAAAUGCCUGUGAAAAUAAGUCAAGUAAUGCAAUAUGUUUAUGGUGUCUUUAUAUAAUGAACCUAAAUAGGAAUAAGAAAUUACAGAAGCAAAAUAUAAGAAACCCACACUUGUUUAUAACUUGUGGACCUCCUGUAGCCCCAAAUAGUUUUGCGUCGACGCAAAUGUCAGUUUAUUACUUUGCAUGCUUUUCCACCAAAUAUUAGGGAACAUUUUCGUUAUUUCCAUCUACCUCCCAGUAUGCUUGCCUGUAACGCUGGGAUUUCUAGGAAGGGUUAAGGCCAGCAAAAUGCAAUAUUAAAAUAUAAUGCAAAAUAAUAACAGCACGUGUAAAUGUCGCAAAUCAGUCCACACCUUCCGGUUGUGCAUAUAAACCGUGCAAUUAACGCGAAUAUGUCGUCUGGGCAAUAAAUUUCGCGCAUAUUAUAGCAAAAGGGGUAUAUAUAUUGGGAACCUGCGAAUUUGCGAUUAGUAGGAUCGGUUUUGCCCUGACGUUAGCACCGUAUUGGCCAAUUUUUGGAAAUAGCGGGUAAGGGUGGGGCAGCCCAAAAUGCGAUGGGCUGUCGGGACGGACGAAGCCCCGACCCACGUAUUACCCCACGAAAACAUAGCGGUUUUUUAUCAAAUAUAGGGGUGCGCUGCCCAGGUUUGCAAUCCUGCCGAAUAAAAGGGAUGUAACCACACCGGAAUUAAUAGAUUAAAUUGCAACGUCCAAACUAUUCGGAUAUAAUAUAUAUGGCAAAUUUCCAAAUAUAUUGUGCUGUAUAAAUUUCCUGGCCGUAUUUUAUAACCCAAAAAGAAAAAAAAUUAAACCUUAGCCGCCCUGGACCGGAUCCAAAUAUUGUUAUUAGCAGGGGUAGAUUUCGUGUUGUAAAAUUUAAAAUUUUUAAACCGUUAUAAUAGUUGCCGGUGGGGCUAAUUGCUAUUUAUAUCGCACAGUUUUAUUAUCCUAUUACGUCGUCCAGUGGAAGACGUUGGCGAAAUUAUCCACAGUUCCGAAAAAAUAUAUUUAAUAAAUUUGGUAUAAUAGAGUUAUAAAUACAACUGUUUCCCAAUUAUAUUUGCUAUAAAUAAUUUGUUUUAUAUUAUUGCAAAAUAAUUGUAACCGAAAAAUCUUAUUUGUUCGGCAACCACCGCCCUAGGAAUACCUGGUGGAAUUAUUAAUACAUUCCGUAUAUAUUUUUAUUAUUAAUGUGCGUCGGGUGUAAUUCCAUGUUAUUUUUCCUGCACGCGGAAAACAAUUUAUUUGCCGCCAUUUCCUUCCUUUUGGACCUUCUUCAGGAACGUUUAUGGGGUUUUAUAAAGCCCAUUUUAAAUGCCGUUACAAACGAAACGUUGAAAAAAACGACCGACCGUUUAAUAAGACGACUAAUCCGCAAAUCCGACUCGUUUGCUAUUAUCGGAAAAACCCUGUUAAAAAUUAAAUCGGUUUUUAUUAUUUUCGUUAAAGUCCUCAAUUAAACAGGCUUUCCGUUAUAUUUAGCAGCCUUUUCCUUAACCGCGCUGACCGGGUUUUUGGGAUUGGGUACGCUUUGCCUUUUUGCUCCAAUUGCAUAAAAUGCCCAAAAAUUCAAAUUUUCGAGGGACGACAAUGUGUAAAUAUUUUGUUUUUCGGCAUUUAAAUUUCAAAUUAACUAAUAUUUUUACAGUAAAGGUUUGGCGCCCAAAUCCAUAAAGGACGGAUAACUUUAUAUAAAAUCCCUGCAAAAACUCGAACGGACGUUAAUUUUAUAGAAAUUGUUUAUCUGUUUCGUGGUUGUUUUUGUUUGGUAUUUUUUAGGUGCAAAAAAAGCGGAUAUCGCGAUAUUCGCCAGGUUAACAUAUUAAAUUAGUUUUGCUAAUAAUAAUUUUUAGAAAAUAAACCAGAUUUACCAAAAAUCCGCUCGCAUUAUAUAAAAGAUGUUAAUUUAGGGCGGUGUUUUUAUAUAUUUUGUUUUUAUAUGCGCGAAUUUUGCGACUCGCAGGCGUUUGCGGGAACCAAAUAUAAAAACUCAAUAGGCCAGUAAGUUAUUAUAUAUUGGGAGCGUUUUAGGCCAGUACCAGCCGUUAAUGGGCGAAAUAAAAUUUCAACAAUUAAUAUAUAUAUAUAUAAUAUCGUAUAUUUAUCGGAAUUGCCAAAUAUUGGUAAUAUUAAUCCGUUUUAUACGCAAUUGUUAAAUUUUUUAACCAGGGCUAAUAACGAAAUCUAAACUUAUUCUAACUUCUCCAUUGUUAAAUAUAUAAAAUAUCCACCUAUUAUACCUUUACAUCUCCAUUUUUGCACGCCUUUAUCCACAAACCCUGUUUGCACCGUUAUUGGAGGUAAAGAUUAAAAACGGAAGAUAUUAGCGCUUUCCAAAAAACUAUAGGUUAAAAAUAAAAUUAUAAAAGGAAAACCACCAUCUUUUCCAAAUAUAUGCAAUUCGAUUGUUUGUAGGGGUCCCAAUAAAUAUUUUAACCCUAUAUUACAUUUUCCCUAACCGUUUUAUAAAUUUAUUUGGGUUAACGUAAGUAUAUAUCGCUAAAAAACCAAUUUUAGAAAACACCGUCCCUUUCCAUUCUGCAUUUUAUCGCCGAAAAUAUAUAUUACCGUACAAUAUAACGUAUAUCUAUCGACCUGCCGCCUUUAUAAGAGUUUUUUCGUUAUUUAAUUUAAUUAUUUUGAGGCAGCCUUUGUCCUAAAACGACCGAAUCGCAUACUUUUUGGUUGUAAUUCUUCCUUUCCCUUUAACGGUAUAUUUUAGCUAUUAUAUAUAUUUACCAAUAUAUAUAUUGGAUAGAUUUUCGUCCGUUUAUCUACUUUUUUCACCUCCAGGCAACGUUUCCAUCCGGGAAACCAAAACUAACCAACAAUACCCUUUAUAAAUGGAAUAUAAUUGCGGUUAUAGGAGGAUUAUUAUUGCGGAAUAAUAUAACCGGUAUAAAAACAAAUUUCAGUCGCACAUUCGAUAUUAGCCAGAAAUAUUAUAUUACACCAGGAACGAUCAAAUUUAUUAUAAAUUGCCUAAUUAACGCCUGUUUGCUUUAAUAAACCUUUGUAUUUUGCAACAAUUACUAAUAUAUGCGAACUAUUUGAACUAAUUUUAAUUUUAUAGCCUAUUAUUAUAAAUAAUAAAACCCAAAGUCUGUUCCAUGGAUAUUUUCGCACGAGUAACAAAUAAAAAAAUAAAACUUACCUCUCCUUUUUAACAAAGGUAUAAUAAUAUAAUAUAAUAAAAAUAAGGAAAUUUUAAUUAAUUAUAUAAUAUUAUGGGAUAUUUGUACCAAUAAGCGCCACAUCCCACCCUGGGUGAACAAAGUAAUUAAAAUAAUUUUUGCAUUUGUAUAUCCUACGUUUGUGUUUAGUAUUUUGAAAUACCGUUUUGCCCUGCUAUAUACCGGGGUGGUCAGCUUCGAAUAUUGUAUAUUAUAA
RNAcentral lists this small RNA (3635 nucleotides) under Pyricularia oryzae. Its description in RNAcentral is "Magnaporthe oryzae sRNA M_BR32_EuGene_00135571". The record is from RNAcentral. Lineage: Eukaryota; Fungi; Ascomycota; Sordariomycetes; Magnaporthales; Pyriculariaceae.